This 253-nucleotide ribosomal RNA is filed under the name uncultured bacterium. Its description in RNAcentral is "partial 16S ribosomal RNA". It matches the Rfam family "Bacterial small subunit ribosomal RNA", at positions 524 to 776 of the family's 1533-position model. The record is from RNAcentral.
UACGGAGGUUGCAAGCGUUAUCCGGAUUUAUUGGGUUUAAAGGGUGCGUAGGCGGGAUAAUAAGUCAGUGGUGAAAACCUGCAGCUUAACUGUAGAACUGCCAUUGAUACUGUUAUUCUUGAGUAUAGUUGAGGUAGGCGGAAUGUGUAGUGUAGCGGUGAAAUGCUUAGAUAUUACACAGAACACCGAUUGCGUAGGCAGCUUACUAAACUAUAACUGACGCCGAGGCACGAAAGCGUGGGGAUCAAACAGG